Oncorhynchus tshawytscha (Chinook salmon) is the source of this 1291-nucleotide long non-coding RNA. The record is from Ensembl. NCBI's taxonomy places the organism in Eukaryota, Metazoa, Chordata, Actinopteri, Salmoniformes, Salmonidae.
CUCUGGUUUGGGUAAUCUGGAUGUUCUGGAUGGUAAGGAUGUUCUGGAUGUUUUGGUUUGUCUGGAUAGUUUGGGUAGUCUGGAUAGUUUGGGUAGUCUGGAUAGUUUGGGUUGUCUGGAUGGUCUGAGUUGUCUGGGUGGUCUGGAUAGUCUGCAUGUUUUGGGUAGUAUUGAUGUUUUGAGUGGUCUGAUGUUCUGGGUAGUCUGGAUGGUCUAGAUAUUCUUUAUGGUUUGGUUAGUCUGGAUAUUCUGGGUAGUCUGGAUGGUCUAGGUAUUCUUUAUGGUUUGGUUAGUCUGUAUUGUCUGGUCUGGAUAGUCUGGGAACACUGGGUGGUUUGUUUGUAUGGUCUGGAUGUUUAGGGUAGUCUGGAUCGUCUUGAUUGUCGGGAUAGUCUGAACUGUCUGGGUAGUCAGAUUAAUCUGGAUAGUAUUGAUGGUCUGGAUGGUUUGGGUAGUCUGGAUGGUUUGGGUAGUCUGGAUGGUCUGGGUAUUCUGGAUGGUUUGGGUAGUCUGGAUAGUCUGAAUGGUCUGGUUAUUCCGGAUGGUUUGGGUAGUCUGAAUUGUCUGGAUGGUCUGUGUAGUCCGGAUGGUCUGGAUAGUUUGGAUGAUUUCUGUAGUCUGGAUGGUACGGAUGUUCUGGAUGUUGUGGUUUGUCUACAUGGUCUGGGUAGUCUGAAUGGUUUUGGUGGUCUUGAUAGUGUGGAUGGUUUUUUAGUCUGGAUGGUUUGGAUAGUCUGGAUGGUUCAGGUAGUCUGGAUAGUCCGAAUGGUCUGGAUAAUUUGGGUAGUCCGGAUAGUCUGAAUGGUCUGGAUAAUUUGGGUAGUCUGGAUGGUUUGGGUAGUCUGUAUGGUUUGGGUUGUCUGGAUUGUCUGGGAUAGUCUGGAUGUUCUGAAUAGUCUCUAUGGUUUGGGUAGUCUGGACAGUCUGGAUGGUCUACAUAGAAUGGAUGGUCUGGAUGGUUUUGGUAGUCUGGAUAGUCUGGAUGGUUUGGGUAGUCUGGAAUGUAUGCUUAUUCUGGAUGGUUUGGAGUCUGGAAGGCUUGGGUAGUCUAGAUGGUCGAAUUGUCUCUAUGGUUUGGGUAGGCUGGAUGGUCGAAUUGUCUAUGGUUUGGGUAGUCUGGAUGGUCUGCAUAGAAUGGAUGGUUUGGUAGACUGGAUAGUCUGCUUAUUCUGGAUGGUUUGGGUAGUCUGGAUGGUUUGGGUAGUCUGGAUACUCUGGAUGGCCUGGAUAGUCUGGGUGGUUUGGGUAGUCUGGAUGGUUUUGGUAGUCUGGAUAGGCUGGAUGGUACGGA